Molecule: ribosomal RNA, 377 nt
Filed under: Shigella sonnei
Lineage: Bacteria; Pseudomonadati; Pseudomonadota; Gammaproteobacteria; Enterobacterales; Enterobacteriaceae
Description: bacterial LSU rRNA
Rfam family: Bacterial large subunit ribosomal RNA
Source: RNAcentral
GGGUUGUGAGGUUAAGCGACUAAGCGUACACGGUGGAUGCCCUGGCAGUCAGAGGCGAUGAAGGACGUGCUAAUCUGCGAUAAGCGUCGGUAAGGUGAUAUGAACCGUUAUAACCGGCGAUUUCCGAAUGGGGAAACCCAGUGUGUUUCGACACACUAUCAUUAACUGAAUCCAUAGGUUAAUGAGGCGAACCGGGGGAACUGAAACAUCUAAGUACCCCGAGGAAAAGAAAUCAACCGAGAUUCCCCCAGUAGCGGCGAGCGAACGGGGAGGAGCCCAGAGCCUGAAUCAGUGUGUGUGUUAGUGGAAGCGUCUGGAAAGGCGCGCGAUACAGGGUGACAGCCCCGUACACAAAAAUGCACAUAUUGUGAGCUCGA